Long non-coding RNA from Juglans regia (Persian walnut), 621 nucleotides. RefSeq lists it as uncharacterized. The record is from RefSeq and is a predicted model, not a curated record. NCBI's taxonomy places the organism in Eukaryota, Viridiplantae, Streptophyta, Magnoliopsida, Fagales, Juglandaceae. The transcript is spliced from 3 exons.
UUUUCUUCUCCUGCACUGUUGCUCUUCACCUCUCCAUUUCAGAUUUCUUUUCCCCUUUCUUUAAUCCAUGCGGCUGCUGCUUCUCCUCUUCUCCUUCAUUUUAUGUCAUUCUUUCCUCUAUUUUCAUUGAGUUGCCAUUGCAGUGUUCCUUCUUCCUCUCUAUCUUAUUUUCGGAUCUUCCCCUUUGCAAGUCAGCAAACGCCACCACUCAUUCUUCCAUCUUCGGCUGCCGUGAGCUCCACUCGUAUCUUGGUGAUUUUGGUGCUUGCAGUGCAUCUUCUGCUACUGUUUAUUGCCUCUUGAUUUCCCUUGAAUAUUUUUAUGAUUCAGCUGGAGAACAAGAAUAUAAAGUAUUGGAAAGGUUUAAUGAUCAUAGAUGAAUGAGUGCUAAGGGUACAAGAAUUUUGGAAGAUCAUAUUUAGUAAUUUUACCUCAGGCGGUUAUUUCGGUACGUCAAGUUAUGAAUAAUUUGGGUCCUUGUGAAGAUGUUAUUUGUUUUAUUGAAGUUUUUGUUUAGUAUUUUCUGUGGAAGGACACGGAUUUUUGGAUCGAACAAAUAAGUUAAGUAUUUUGUGGAGUUUUUGUUUAUUUAUUAUUUGAUUAUUGGAGAUGUUUUUGAGA